GGUUAAGCGACUAAGCGUACACGGUGGAUGCCCCGGCAGUCAGAGGCGAUGAAGGACGUGCUAAUCUGCGAAAAGCGUCGGUAAGGUGAUAUGAACCGUUAUAACCGGCGAUGUCCGAAUGGGGAAACCCAGUGUGAUUCGUCACACUAUCGUUAACUGAAUACAUAGGUUAACGAGGCGAACCGGGGGAACUGAAACAUCUAAGUACCCCGAGGAAAAGAAAUCAACCGAGAUUCCCCCAGUAGCGGCGAGCGAACGGGGAGCAGCCCAGAGUCUGAAUCAGCUUGUGUGUUAGUGGAACGGUCUGGAAAGUCCGACGGUACAGGGUGAUAGUCCCGUACACCAAAAUGCACAGGCUGUGAACUCGAAGAGUAGGGCGGGACACGUGGUAUCCUGUCUGAAUAUGGGGGGACCAUCCUCCAAGGCUAAAUACUCCUGACUGACCGAUAGUGAACCAGUACCGUGAGGGAAAGGCGAAAAGAACCCCGGCGAGGGGAGUGAAAAAGAACCUGAAACCGUGUACGUACAAGCAGUGGGAGCACCUUCGGGUGUGACUGCGUACCUUUUGUAUAAUGGGUCAGCGACUUAUAUUCUGUAGCAAGGUUAACCGUAUAGGGGAGCCGCAGGGAAACCGAGUCUUAACUGGGCGUUAAGUUGCAGGGUAUAGACCCGAAACCCGGUGAUCUAGCCAUGGGCAGGUUGAAGGUUGGGUAACACUAACUGGAGGACCGAACCGACUAAUGUUGAAAAAUUAGCGGAUGACUUGUGGCUGGGGGUGAAAGGCCAAUCAAACCGGGAGAUAGCUGGUUCUCCCCGAAAGCUAUUUAGGUAGCGCCUCGUGAAUUCAUCUUCGGGGGUAGAGCACUGUUUCGGCUAGGGGGUCAUCCCGACUUACCAACCCGAUGCAAACUACGAAUACCGAAGAAUGUUAUCACGGGAGACACACGGCGGGUGCUAACGUCCGUCGUGAAGAGGGAAACAACCCAGACCGCCAGCUAAGGUCCCAAAGUCAUGGUUAAGUGGGAAACGAUGUGGGAAGGCACAGACAGCCGGGAUGUUGGCUUAGAAGCAGCCAUCAUUUAAAGAAAGCGUAAUAGCUCACUGGUCGAGUCGGCCUGCGCGGAAGAUGUAACGGGGCUAAACCAUGCACCGAAGCUGCGGCAGCGACACUAUGUGUUGUUGGGUAGGGGAGCGUUCUGUAAGCCUGCGAAGGUGUGCUGUGAGGCAUGCUGGAGGUAUCAGAAGUGCGAAUGCUGACAUAAGUAACGAUAAAGCGGGUGAAAAGCCCGCUCGCCGGAAGACCAAGGGUUCCUGUCCAACGUUAAUCGGGGCAGGGUGAGUCGACCCCUAAGGCGAGGCCGAAAGGCGUAGUCGAUGGGAAACAGGUUAAUAUUCCUGUACUUGGUGUUACUGCGAAGGGGGGACGGAGAAGGCUAUGUUAGCCGGGCGACGGUUGUCCCGGUUUAAGCAUGUAGGCUGGUUGUCGGGCAAAUCCGGAUAAUCAAGGCUGAGGUGUGAUGACGAGGCACUACGGUGCUGAAGUAACAAAUGCCCUGCUUCCGGGAAAAGCCUCUAAGCAUCAGGUAACAUCAAAUCGUACCCCAAACCGACACAGGUGGUCAGGUAGAGAAUACCAAGGCGCUUGAGAGAACUCGGGUGAAGGAACUAGGCAAAAUGGUGCCGUAACUUCGGGAGAAGGCACGCUGGUGUGUAGGUGAAGUCCCUGCGGAUGGAGCUGAGACCAGUCGAAGAUACCAGCUGGCUGCAACUGUUUAUUAAAAACACAGCACUGUGCAAACACGAAAGUGGACGUAUACGGUGUGACGCCUGCCCGGUGCCGGAAGGUUAAUUGAUGGGGUUAUCCGUAAGGAGAAGCUCUUGAUCGAAGCCCCGGUAAACGGCGGCCGUAACUAUAACGGUCCUAAGGUAGCGAAAUUCCUUGUCGGGUAAGUUCCGACCUGCACGAAUGGCGUAAUGAUGGCAGGGCUGUCUCCACCCGAGACUCAGUGAAAUUGAACUCGCUGUGAAGAUGCAGUGUACCCGCGGCAAGACGGAAAGACCCCGUGAACCUUUACUAUAGCUUGACACUGAACAUUGAGCCUUGAUGUGUAGGAUAGGUGGGAGGCUUUGAAGCGUGGACGCCAGUCUGCGUGGAGCCAACCUUGAAAUACCACCCUUUAAUGUUUGAUGUUCUAACGUUGGCCCCUUAUCGGGGUUGCGGACAGUGUCUGGUGGGUAGUUUGACUGGGGCGGUCUCCUCCCAAAGCGUAACGGAGGAGCACGAAGGUUAGCUAAUCCUGGUCGGACAUCAGGAGGUUAGUGCAAUGGCAUAAGCUAGCUUGACUGCGAGCGUGACGGCGCGAGCAGGUGCGAAAGCAGGUCAUAGUGAUCCGGUGGUUCUGAAUGGAAGGGCCAUCGCUCAACGGAUAAAAGGUACUCCGGGGAUAACAGGCUGAUACCGCCCAAGAGUUCAUAUCGACGGCGGUGUUUGGCACCUCGAUGUCGGCUCAUCACAUCCUGGGGCUGAAGUAGGUCCCAAGGGUAUGGCUGUUCGCCAUUUAAAGUGGUACGCGAGCUGGGUUUAGAACGUCGUGAGACAGUUCGGUCCCUAUCUGCCGUGGGCGCUGGAGAAUUGAGGGGGGCUGCUCCUAGUACGAGAGGACCGGAGUGGACGCAUCACUGGUGUUCGGGUUGUCAUGCCAAUGGCACUGCCCGGUAGCUAAAUGCGGAAGAGAUAAGUGCUGAAAGCAUCUAAGCACGAAACUUGCCCCGAGAUGAGUUCUCCCUGAGACUUUAAGUCUCCUGAAGGAACGUUAAAGACGAUGACGUUGAUAGGCCGGGUGUGUAAGCGCAGCGAUGCGUUGAGCUAACCGGUACUAAUGAACCGUGAGGCUUAACCUU
Molecule: ribosomal RNA, 2901 nt
Filed under: Klebsiella pneumoniae
Lineage: Bacteria; Pseudomonadati; Pseudomonadota; Gammaproteobacteria; Enterobacterales; Enterobacteriaceae
Description: 23S ribosomal RNA
Rfam family: Bacterial large subunit ribosomal RNA
Source: RNAcentral